CUCUCAGAUGUUUCAGCAUCAACAUUACUUUCCUGAGAAAAGGCAACGGAAAUCGUAAAUGUCUUAAAACUAAUUGACCAAAGGUAAUGAAAAGGAUUACCUUCUUCUUAGCUAAUUCUUGCACCAUCCCCUUUAACUCUUCAAUCUCACUUUUCAUUUCUGCAAUCUUAGGGUCUCUAAAUUGCAGAUAUGCUAGCUUAUUAGCUGUAAUCCCUCUACCAAAGCCCCUCACUCGUCCAGGUUUGUCUUUUCCCAAAACCUUGCUCACAGCAUCUUCCCUUAUGUUAUCAGCAGCUGAUGUGGAGUCCAUCUGACUGUCAAGUGACUGUAUUUGUUCCUGAUACAAUCAUUUAAACACAAAAUCAUUCAUUGCCAUAGUCUAUUAACUAUACACAAUAUACAACUUCCAUAAUGCUUACAAUAGUCUCAGCAAACUGGGGCUUCACAGGUCUGCCAUCAGCAUAAGUGUGUCCUGCAAUCUAAACCUUGGAUCUACUCACCUUACUUGGGUCUUUACUCUUUUUUUUUUCUAUAUGAAAACAAACAUAUCUCACUACCAUUUUAAUCUAACAAGCUGAUGUACAAUAUGUAGAUGUUUGACUACUCUUUUACCAUAUCAUCAGCUAAACGAAGCAUUCCUUUGCGGCUGGUGGUGUGAGAAAUCUGAUUUCUUCUC
RNAcentral lists this long non-coding RNA (676 nucleotides) under Brassica napus (rape). RNAcentral describes it as "long non-coding RNA (BNAP_LNC014623)". The record is from RNAcentral. Lineage: Eukaryota; Viridiplantae; Streptophyta; Magnoliopsida; Brassicales; Brassicaceae.